Molecule: ribosomal RNA, 1007 nt
Filed under: Vorticellides astyliformis
Lineage: Eukaryota; Ciliophora; Oligohymenophorea; Sessilida; Vorticellidae
Description: partial small subunit ribosomal RNA
Rfam family: Bacterial small subunit ribosomal RNA (bases 1-841)
Source: RNAcentral
GACCUGAGUGAUAAGCAUUAUUCGUCAUAACUGGGUGUAAAGAAUGCGUAGGAGAUUUAAAAUAAUAACUGACUAAAUUCUAGUAAAAGAUGAGCUUUUAUUAUUUCUUAAUAUUUGAGUACAUUUAGAGAAUUAGGGUGUGUCUAAUUAGUGAUAAAAUACUAAAAAUUAGCCAUUCUUGUCAAUUGUUUAAAUAAUAAUUCUUUUAUGUUCUGACUCUGGGGCAUUAAAGUAAAGGAAAUAAACAGGAUUAGAGACCCUGGUAAUCUUUACCCUAAAUUUUGAUUUUUUAUGCUUACGCAAAAAAAUCCACCAGAUUAGUAUAGUUGCAAAAUUCAAAGUUAACAGAAUUGGCGGGGGUUAGCACGAAUGGUGGAACAUGUGGUUUAAUACCAUAAUCCACGUAGAACCUUACCAUAAUUUGAAUACAUGAUAAAGAUGUUGAACUUUUAGUUUAGUUACUUUUAGGGAUAGCUUGUCUUAAACAUGUUAAACGGUAUUGCAUGGCUGUCGUCAGCACGUGUUGUGAUGCGUAGAAUUAAAUUUUUCUAACGAGCGCAACUUUUGGGAUUUAUAUUGAUAUUAAUAUCAUAUUUUUAAUAUUGGUUACCAAAACUGAAGUCAAGUCCUCAUGGUCUGUAUAUUAUGGGCAACACACGUGUUACAAUGGUAAAAACAACAAAAUUCAAAAAAGAAAUUUUGAGGAAUUUUUUUAAAAAUUACCCUAGUUCGAAUACAUUUCUGAAACUUGAAAUGUUGAAGGAGAAAUCAUUAGUAACCGUAAAUGAUUAUGUUACGGUGAAUUAAAAAACUAACCUUGCACACACCGCCCAUCACAUUCGGAAAAUUUAUAGAUUGGUAAAAAUACAUAUAUUGUUUGUUUUUUUAGGUCAAUUAGACAAUGUAGAAUUUUUUUUAAAGUUUAGCAUGUAUGUGCACCAACCCUUUUUUAAAAGUUUUAGAAAUGAACGUAUUUCGCCAUUUUAUAGGUAAUUUGAAUUAAGUUG